GACGAACGCUGGCGGCGUGCUUAACACAUGCAAGUCGAACGAUGAACCCGGAGCUUGCUCCGGUGGAGUAGUGGCGAACGGGUGAGUAACACGUGAGUAACCUGCCCUUGACUCUGGGAUAACUGAGGGCAACUGUAGCUAAUACCGGCUACGACCCUCGGCGGCAUCGCCAGGGGGUGGGAAGAAUUUCGGUCAAGGAUGGACUCGCGGCCUAUCCGCUAGAUGGUGAAGUAACGGCUCACCAAGGCGACGACGGGUAGCCGACCUGAGAGGGUGACCGGCCACACUGGGACUGAGACACGGCCCAGACUCCUACGGGAGGCAGCAGUGGGGAAUAUUGCACAAUGGGCGCAAGCCUGAUGCAGCAACGCCGCGUGAGGGAUGACGGCCUUCGGGUUGUAAACCUCUUUUAGUAGGGAAGAAGCGAAAAUGACGGUACCUGCAGAAAAAGCACCGGCUAACUACGUGCCAGCCGCCGCCGUAA
RNAcentral lists this ribosomal RNA (484 nucleotides) under uncultured bacterium. RNAcentral describes it as "partial 16S ribosomal RNA". It matches the Rfam family "Bacterial small subunit ribosomal RNA", at positions 28 to 523 of the family's 1533-position model. The record is from RNAcentral.